AUUUAUAUAGUUUACACAAAACAUUACAUUUUCACUGUAAAAAUAAAAUACCCAUUUUUAUAAAUA
RNAcentral lists this transfer RNA (66 nucleotides) under Telchinia penelope. Its description in RNAcentral is "Acraea penelope tRNA-Glu". The record is from RNAcentral. Lineage: Eukaryota; Metazoa; Arthropoda; Insecta; Lepidoptera; Nymphalidae.